GUUUGAUCCUGGCUCAGGAUGAACGCUAGCGGCAGGCCUAACACAUGCAAGUCGAACGGUAACAGGAAAUAGCUUGCUAUUUUGCUGACGAGUGGCGCACGGGUGCGUAACGCGUAUACAAUCUACCUUUUGCUGAGGGAUAGCCCAGAGAAAUUUGGAUUAAUACCUCAUGGUAUUAUUGAUAGGCAUCUAUUAAUAAUUAAAGGUUACGGCAAAAGAUGAGUAUGCGUCCCAUUAGCUAGUUGGUGAAGUAACGGUUCACCAAGGCAACGAUGGGUAGGGGUCCUGAGAGGGAGAUCCCCCACACUGGUACUGAGACACGGACCAGACUCCUACGGGAGGCAGCAGUGAGGAAUAUUGGACAAUGGGCGAGAGCCUGAUCCAGCCAUGCCGCGUGCAGGAAGACUGCCCUAUGGGUUGUAAACUGCUUUUAUACAGGAAGAAUAAGCCUUACGUGUAAGGUGAUGACGGUACUGUAAGAAUAAGGACCGGCUAACUCCGUGCCAGCAGCCGCGGUAAUAAGGGCGAAU
This 530-nucleotide ribosomal RNA is filed under the name uncultured Flavobacteriia bacterium. RNAcentral describes it as "bacterial SSU rRNA". It matches the Rfam family "Bacterial small subunit ribosomal RNA", at positions 11 to 534 of the family's 1533-position model. Lineage: Bacteria; Pseudomonadati; Bacteroidota; Flavobacteriia. The record is from RNAcentral.